ACUCCUACGGGAGGCAGCAGUGAGGAAUAUUGGACAAUGGGUGAGAGUCUGAUCCAGCCAUCCCGCCGUGAAGGACGACGGCCCUAUGGUUGUAAACUUCUUUUGUAUAGGGAUAAACCUUUCCACGUGUGGAAAGCUGAAGGUACUAUACGAAUAAGCACCGGCUAACUCCGUGCCAGCAGCCGCGGUAAUACGGAGGGGUGCAAGCGUUAUCCGGAUUUAUUGGGUUUAAAGGGUCCGUAGGCGGAUCUGUAAGUCAGUGGUGAAAUCUCAUAGCUUAACUAUGAAACUGCCAUUGAUACUGCAGGUCUUGAGUAAAGUAGAAGUGGCUGGAAUAAGUAGUGUAGCGGUGAAAUGCAUAGAUAUUACUUAGAACACCAAUUGCGAAGGCAGGUCACUAUGUUUUAACUGACGCUGAUGGACGAAAGCGUGGGGAGCGAACAGGAUUAGAUACCCUGGUAGGAUAGCG
RNAcentral lists this ribosomal RNA (469 nucleotides) under uncultured bacterium. RNAcentral describes it as "bacterial SSU rRNA". It matches the Rfam family "Bacterial small subunit ribosomal RNA", at positions 335 to 799 of the family's 1533-position model. The record is from RNAcentral.